GAUUUAUUGUUUUAAUUUUAUUCUCAGUUUGAUUAAGUUUUUUGGUUUGCUGUUUUUGGGUGAUGUGCUUAUUGUCACAACUCAUGUACAUUUUGAAUCUUUCUUUCAGUUCUAUCAUCUAUGCACUAGGUGAUGUGCUUAUGGUUACUUAAUGUGCUCUUCUGCACUCAAAUACUCAUGAUCAUCGGACCUGCUUGUUGUAAUCAUUGAUAUGACCAUUUUAACCAAUAAAUAGACUAAUCUUAAAUUUCAAUUGAGGGUGUUUGAACACUGCUGUGAAGGUGAGACAUUUGAACUUGCCCAUAUAUUCACAGAAGAUACAUAUUCUGAUAGAUAUUCCUGCUUUGUUGCAUUUACAGAAUAAGAAUGUUCUGAUAGAUAUUCCUUUGUUGCAUUCUAAGUCGGAAUGGGUAUACCUUGAUGCAGACAAAAUUUAAAUCUUACAUGG
This 448-nucleotide unclassified non-coding RNA is filed under the name Hevea brasiliensis (rubber tree). Lineage: Eukaryota; Viridiplantae; Streptophyta; Magnoliopsida; Malpighiales; Euphorbiaceae. The record is from RNAcentral.